AUGGCCGGCGAGGGCGGAAGCGGCGGAGAGCGCAGCAAGGACCCGCUGGAGGGCGUCCGCGCCAUCGUGCUCAAGCCGUCCGAGUCCCUCGACGAGUCGCGGUUCACCAAAAUCGCCGGCGCCGACUUCAACGACGCCGGCCUCGGCCUCGACGGCCUCCUUGGGUCGCUCGCCUCCACGGGGUUCCAGGCGUCCAACCUCGGCGACGCCAUCGACGUCGUCAAUCAGAUGUUAGAUUGGAGGCUGUCGCAUGAGAAGCCAAGCGAGGACUGUGAUGAAGCUGAACUUGACCCGAAAUACAGAGAAUCUGUCAAGUGCAAGAUAUUCCUUGGUUUCACUUCGAACCUUGUUUCUUCCGGUAUACGGGAUGUAAUACGGUUUCUAGUUCAACAUCACAUGGUGGAUGUUGUUGUAACGACAGCUGGGGGUAUAGAGGAAGACCUCAUAAAAUGCCUAGCACCAACGUACCGAGGUGAAUUUUCUUUACCUGGGGCACUGCUACGGUCAAAAGGACUUAACCGGAUAGGAAAUCUGUUGGUGCCCAAUGAUAACUAUUGCAAGUUUGAAAACUGGAUCAUGCCACUCUUUGACCAGAUGCUACAAGAACAAUCUACCGAGAAUGUCUGGACACCAUCAAAGGUGAUUGCUCGUCUUGGCAAAGAAAUAAAUGAUGAAAGCUCCUACCUUUAUUGGGCAUACAAGAACAAUAUUCCUGUAUACUGCCCAGCAUUGACUGAUGGAUCACUCGGAGACAUGCUGUUUUGUCAUGCAGUUCGCAAUCCUGGUCUUAUUAUCGACAUUGUACAAGAUAUAAGGCUGAUAAAUGGUGAAGCCAUUCAUGCAAGCCCAAGGAAGACAGGGGUCAUAAUUCUUGGUGGAGGCCUUCCAAAGCAUCAUAUAUGCAAUGCAAAUAUGUUCCGCAAUGGUGCAGAUUAUGCAGUCUAUAUCAACACGGCUCAAGAGUUUGAUGGAAGUGACUCAGGAGCACGGCCAGAUGAAGCAGUUUCAUGGGGAAAGAUCAAAGGUUCAGCAAAACCUGUAAAGGUCCACUGUGAUGCAACUAUCGCUUUCCCGUUACUUGUAGCUGCAACAUUUGCACGUAGGUCUCAUGGUGCAAAUUCAACCAACUGA
This 1131-nucleotide ribosomal RNA is filed under the name Triticum aestivum (bread wheat). RNAcentral describes it as "partial small subunit ribosomal RNA". The record is from RNAcentral. Lineage: Eukaryota; Viridiplantae; Streptophyta; Magnoliopsida; Poales; Poaceae.